UGCUCAUCAGACAACAGAUAUUUAUUGAAUGUUCUUUGUCAUGCUUCUUCAAGAUGUGCCCUGGCCAUUCAUGCAAGUUUCAAGGACUCUGAAUCUAUUGAGA
RNAcentral lists this long non-coding RNA (103 nucleotides) under Pan troglodytes (chimpanzee). RNAcentral describes it as "lincRNA". The record is from RNAcentral. Lineage: Eukaryota; Metazoa; Chordata; Mammalia; Primates; Hominidae.